Non-coding RNA from Capsicum annuum, 87 nucleotides. NCBI's taxonomy places the organism in Eukaryota, Viridiplantae, Streptophyta, Magnoliopsida, Solanales, Solanaceae. The record is from Rfam.
GAGCAGUGAUGUUAACCGCACUAAUUGUGUACGAUGGGUCGUCACUUUCACCUGAUAUUUCAGAUGAGAACAUGGUGCACUGAGCUC